Molecule: ribosomal RNA, 497 nt
Filed under: uncultured Glomeromycotina
Lineage: Eukaryota; Fungi; Glomeromycota
Description: partial small subunit ribosomal RNA
Rfam family: Eukaryotic small subunit ribosomal RNA
Source: RNAcentral
CCAAUAGCGUAUAUUAAAGUUGUUGCAGUUAAAAAGCUCGUAGUUGAAUUUCAGGCCUGGCUGGACGGUCCGCCCUUCGGGUGAGUACUGUCUGUGGUCGGGUCCUACCUUCUGGCGAAGCGUCAUGGCCUUAACCGGCCGUGGCGGGGAACCAGGACUUUUACUGUGAAAAAAUUAGAGUGUUCAAAGCAGGCAAUCGCUUGGAUACAUUAGCAUGGAAUAAUGGAAUAGGACAAUGGUUCUAUUUGUUGGUUUCUAGGACCGUUGUAAUGAUUAAUAGGGAUAUUUGGGGGCAUUAGUAUUCAAGUGUCAGAGGUGAAAUUCUUGGAUUUAUUGAAGACUAACUACUGCGAAAGCAUUUGCCAAGGAUGCUUUCAUUAAUCAAGAACGAAAGUUAGGGGAUCGAAGACGAUCAGAUACCGUCGUAGUCUUAACCAUAAACUAUGCCGACUAGGAAUCGGGCGAUGUUGACAAAAUGACGCGCUCGGCACCUCAUG